GCACAAGCGGUGGAGCAUGUGGUUUAAUUCGAUGCAACGCGAAGAACCUUACCUGGUCUUGACAUGUCCGGAAUCCUGCAGAGAUGCGGGAGUGCCUUCGGGAAUCGGAACACAGGUGCUGCAUGGCUGUCGUCAGCUCGUGUCGUGAGAUGUUGGGUUAAGUCCCGCAACGAGCGCAACCCUUAUCUUCAGUUGCUACCAUUUAGUUGAGCACUCUGACGAAACCGCCUCGGAUAACGGGGAGGAAGGUGGGGAUGACGUCAAGUCCUCAUGGCCUUUAUGUCCAGGGCUACACACGUGCUACAAUGGCCGGUACAAACCGUCGCAAACCCGUGAGGGGGAGCUAAUCGGAAAAAGCCGUCCUCAGUUCGGAUUGGAGUCUGCAACUCGACUCCAUGAAGCUGGAAUCGCUAGUAAUCGCGGAUCAGAACGCCGCGGUGAAUACGUUCCCGGGC
Molecule: ribosomal RNA, 455 nt
Filed under: uncultured bacterium
Lineage: Bacteria
Description: bacterial SSU rRNA
Rfam family: Bacterial small subunit ribosomal RNA
Source: RNAcentral